UUUCCGUAGGUGAACCUGCGGAAGGAUCAUUACAGAGUCGAUGCCCUGAGAUAUGGGUAAUCCUCCCACCCGUGUUAACCGUACCGCGUUGCUUUGGCGGGCCGCCGCGAGGCCCCGGCUCCGGCUGGGUCGCGCCCGUCAGAGGACCCCCAAACCCAUGAUAGUGAGUGUCGUCCGAGUACUAUCUAAUAGUUAAAACUUUCAACAACGGAUCUCUUGGUUCUGGCAUCGAUGAAGAACGCAGC
This 245-nucleotide unclassified non-coding RNA is filed under the name uncultured fungus. RNAcentral describes it as "sequence contains ITS1, 5.8S rRNA gene". The stretch from base 197 to 245 matches the Rfam family "5.8S ribosomal RNA", at positions 1 to 49 of the family's 154-position model. The record is from RNAcentral. Lineage: Eukaryota; Fungi.